RNAcentral lists this ribosomal RNA (253 nucleotides) under uncultured bacterium. Its description in RNAcentral is "partial 16S ribosomal RNA". It matches the Rfam family "Bacterial small subunit ribosomal RNA", at positions 524 to 776 of the family's 1533-position model. The record is from RNAcentral.
GACAGAGGCCUCGAGCGUUAGGCGGAAUCACUGGGCUUAAAGCGUGUGUAGGCGGAUGCCUAAGUACAUUGUGAAAUCCCACGGCUCAACCGUGGAACGGCUGGGUAUACUGGGCGUCUUGAGCCAGCUAGGGGCGACCGGAACAAACGGUGGAGCGGUGAAAUGCGUAGAUAUCGUUUGGAACGCCUGUGGUGAAAACGGGUCGCUGGGGCUGUGCUGACGCUGAGACACGAAAGCCAGGGGAGCAAACGGG